UAGGGGGCUGAGGAGUGCUGGGUUGGGCUUCCAGCUCCCUACAACGCAAACCAGUACUGGAGUUCGUGGUGCUGGAAGACCGCCGCCCGACCCUGGGCCCCGGGUAGGAAACAACAAUUUCGGACCUCCUGGGGUCUAUGCUAGGUAUGAGGUGUAUCUUUGCCCUCCAUCAAGUAGCAAAGAUGGACAUGUAAACAAAUUUCGACACUGUGAUGAUUGCCACAAAAAGCAGCAUUAUGAAGUUGAAUGUAAAAGGAUAACCUUAGCGGCAGCGGGGGCCGGAGGAUGAAGGAAGGCUUCCUGAGGUAGGCGCUGCUUGAAACUGAAGUUGGAGAGAGCAAGUGGCGUUUGCUGAAGUGCAUUUCCGGUAGAAAACUCCAGUGGUCCCUCACCUGACUGAGUGGCGCAGUCAGAGAUAAAUGGAACAGAGUCUACAAAUAAACAUUUUAUAAAGAUGAUCCUUCAAUACAUAUUCUACAGCCCAGUUAAAAUGUGAGAGGCCAUGAUCUACAGGCAGCCAUUUAUAAAGGUGGAUCAGGGCCGGACACGGUGGCUCAACGUUUGUAAUCCCGGCACUCUGGGAGGCCAUAGCGGGAGGAUCGCUUGAGCCCAGGAGUUCGAGACCAACCUGGCCAACAUGGUGAGACCCCAUCUUUACAAAAAAAUAUAUAUAUCCAGGCAUAGUGUUGUGCACCUGUGGUCCUGUGGUCCCAGCUACUCAGGAAGCUGAGGCAGUCGAGGCUGCAGUGAGCCACGUUCUGGCCACUACACUCCAGCCUGGGCAUCAAAGUGACAAGACCAAAAAAAAAAAAAAUGUGGAUUGGAAGGAGGCAAGAAAGAAGGCAGGAAAAGGGUGGAAUGUAAGUCCAUAAGGACACAAUCUUACUCACAAUUGUAUCUGCAACAUCUGGCAUAAUGCCUAAUACGUAAGUAUUUUAUGAAUUAAUUAAACGAGAACACAAGCCUAAAUUAAGGCAAUGGCAAUGGAGAAGACAAACCAACUUGAGAAAUAUUUAAAGGUCAUUGUCAAUGGAACUUAGUGACUUUAAUGGUUAAUUUUAUCUAUCAACUUGGCUAGGUGAUGCUACCCAUGUUACUCAGUUUUUGGUCAAACACUAGUCUAGUUGUUGCUAUGAAUUGUAUUUGUUAGAUGUGAUUAACAUUUAAAUCAGCAGACUUUGAUUAAAGUACAUUACCCUCUAUAAUGAGGGUGGGCCACAUCCGGUCAGUUCAAAUUAAAACGAGACCCUUAAGAAGAAGCAAUUCAGCCUCCAGACUGCAUCGUCAAAUCUUCCUGAGUCUCCAGGCUGUUUGUCUGCCCUGCAGAUUUCAGACUUGCCAGCUCCCAGAAUAAUGUGAGCCAAUUCCUUAAAAUAAAUCUCUUUCUGCAUAUACA
Molecule: long non-coding RNA, 1396 nt
Organism: Gorilla gorilla gorilla (western lowland gorilla)
Lineage: Eukaryota; Metazoa; Chordata; Mammalia; Primates; Hominidae
Exons: 3
Source: RefSeq, a predicted model, not a curated record